RNAcentral lists this ribosomal RNA (260 nucleotides) under uncultured archaeon. Its description in RNAcentral is "partial 16S ribosomal RNA". It matches the Rfam family "Archaeal small subunit ribosomal RNA", at positions 748 to 1009 of the family's 1478-position model. The record is from RNAcentral.
AGGGUGUAAACGCUGCAGACUUGGUGUUGGAAGCCCUUUGGGGGCAUUCAGUGCCGGAGAGAAGUUGUUAAGUCUGCUACUUGGGGAGUACGUCCGCAAGGAUGAAACUUAAAGGAAUUGGCGGGGGAGCACCGCAACGGGAGGAGCGUGCGGUUUAAUUGGAUUCAACACCGUAAACUCACCAGGGAAGACUGUUACAUGAAGGCCGAGAUGAAGACCUUACCUGAAUCGCUGAGAGGUGGUGCAUGGCGUAGACGUCU